RNA transcript from Octopus sinensis (East Asian common octopus), 3710 nucleotides. RefSeq lists it as uncharacterized. Lineage: Eukaryota; Metazoa; Mollusca; Cephalopoda; Octopoda; Octopodidae. The record is from RefSeq and is a predicted model, not a curated record. The transcript is spliced from 5 exons.
AUUAAAAGAGAGAGAGAAAAAGUAAAAAUAAAAUAGAAAUACUGAUACCCUGGUACAAUUAUGUGUAAUUAUUUCACGAGAGCCAUUAUUUUGUGAAACACCGUGUGCAACAUACGGGUCCCGUUGCUAGAUCAAUAAUAAUCAUGGCUUCUAUUCGAGUCUCCUUAUUCAUUAUUCUCUACAUAUUCUCCGUCGGUCUGACUCUGUUGGUACAUUGCAGACGACAUGAUGACGAAGAGGAAGAGAAGAAAAAAAUGUCAUGUACAUAUUUUGAUCCACGCAGAUUUCCUGAACCACAGCAUGGUCUGGUUAACUGCUCUUGGUAUGCCCCAAAUGCAUGUUGCAAGCGGACCGAAGUGACAUCUGUGUUCAGUAACAUGUACCCUUUAUAUGGGGCAUCUAAAGCUUGUAUGAACCGUAUGAAUUACUUAAUGUGCUACUUCUGUAGUCCAGAACAGGGUAUUUGGUACCAUGGUAAAAUGAGUGUAUGUGAAGAAUACUGCGUUGAUAUUUACAAUGAAUGUCGACUAGCUUCCUAUGAAGGAACCUCUAUAGUUUAUGCAGCCAGUAUCUAUCUCCUUGGGAUUUAACACCUAGACUGACUGAGAGAGACCUGUAUCUCAUUUAAGUAAGAUGCUACAUACUAAAUAUUUCUCUUUUUUUUUUCUUCUAAGGGCAAAAAAUCUGAAUUCAAUGAAUUAUAUAAAAAAACUCUUUUUCAUCUUCACAUAACUGAAACUCAUAUGAGAGUAUGUUUUUUUUUUUUAUAAAAAAUUAAUUAAUACAGUUAAUAAGUCAUAUUAAUGAUACUGAACAACCAAACUAUUUACUUUGAUAGUUCAGUAUCCUUAUCAAUCCAUACAAUCCUUCAUGAUGAAGGACAACAUCCUAUUGUAUACAGCCCUUCAUGAGAAAGGACUGUGUCCUAUUCCAAAUAACUUCUCGCACUAAGCGAUAUUGUCUUCUUCCAUACAGCCCUUCACAGUAAAGGAUAUUGUUCUAUUCUACACAGUCCUCCACACCGAAAGACACAGUGUCCUAUUCCACCACUCUUCACUCUCUAAAAUUCCAUGUAUCUUUUUUUUUUUUUUUUUUUCCUUACUGUUCCAACUAUUUUAUGUCAACAAAUAUUUAUACUAUCUUCUUUAUUUAAACCACGCAUUAAAAUUUAAUACUCACCUUUACAGUAUUUCAUAGUCUUUAUAUAUUACAUAUGUGUGUUUGUGUUUGCAUAUAUGUGUGUGUGUAUGAGUCUCUGUAUGUGUGCGUGUGCAUGCAUGCAUGUAUGUUGUUACUUUAUCAUGUUACAGAUGCACCUUGCUAUGACUUAAUGGUAUCCCUAAGAGGGAUAUAUUAGAGUGAUUUUCCACUCCUUUUUUUUCAUUUAUACAAAUAGACCAGGUAGUAUAUUGGGGAAGGUAUAUUAAGUUAGUGAUAGAAUCUGCACUUUUUCUGCCCUCCUCAGAUCACUAACAAUCAAGCUGAAGUGAAAAACUACAAUCAGGGAUCAAAAGUCGGUUGUAGGCUUAGCUCACCAGUAACCCUGUAAGGCAUUCAAUAGAUCCCACCUAUAAGGCUACUAUCUAUAUCUAUCUGAUAUUCAGCAGCACUUUAAAGAGUUCAAGUACAAUGCUGAAAUGCUAACAAAACAGACAUCAGGUAGAUGGUAAUUCCACUGUUUACAUUGGUGAAUUCUGUCAAUCCGACUCAAUUGAACCAAUGAAAUGUCAUAGAUCCAGUGUAGUUCUGAUGACAGGAUAUGCACUUUAGACUAUGAACUCUGACCCUUUAACCUGUAGCAUGCUGUCAAUUCCAUCACUUGCUGCUCGGUUAAUUUAUAUAUUUUCAAAUAAUCUCCUUCAGUUUAAAAAACUAGUAGAGUGUUGAAAUUUAAGCAAAUUUGCUUCAUCAUUUUAAUUAACAUGAUGAAGAAUUGUAAUUAAAUUCAAUAGUUGAACUAUUUUUUGGAUUAUUUCUUUUAGCCAUUUGCCAUUUCUAUGUUUCUAAACACUAAACUUAUUUAGUAUUUGUCUGGUAGUUUGGAGAAAGUCUUUUAUAUUUAAAAAACGGCUUCUGUACAGGGCACGUCCAUACUGCAAAACCAAAUGAUUAACAGCAAUAAUUCAUUCUUUCAUAAACAUACACACACACAUGUAUGUGUGUGUGUGUGUGCAUACAUAUAUAUAUAUAUAUAUACACACACAUAUAUAUAUAAAUGUAUGGUAUAUAUAUAUAUAUAUAUAUAUAUAUAUAUAUAUAUAUAUAUAUAUAUAUAGGUACAAGGUAUAAAUAAUAGUCUUUACAUAUUUUUCUUUAUUGCAGUAAAUUUUUGACUUACAACUGUAAAUAUGUUGCAACCAUUAUUUACACCUUAUCUUGUAUCUCACUCUCUGUGAAAACCAAGCUAACUAGGGCCCAACCAUGGAUUUACAAUAUAGAAUGGUGAUGAACUAUUACCUUGGACCCUGCCACAAGAAUAUGCAAAUUUCUUUACAAAUCUAAACAGUAUUGCGAGUCUGAUGCACUAACAGAGCUUAUAAAAUAUUUUGCCCAGAUUGAUAAUCCCUCACUGACUUUGUGUGUGUGUGUGUGAGGUCUGUGUGUGUAUAUAUUUAUAUUUAAUACAUAUGUAUGUAUGUAUGAGAAAUAAGCAUAAACACAAGUUUCUUUUAUAUUUCUUAUGUACAUUUUACUGUCAUGGUUGUUUGGAGCCUUGCCUUAGGUAUCCCAAGUGCAUUUAAAUGCUCAGCUACAAUGGAUCACAAGGGAACACUUUGUUGCAUUAAGUUAGAGGUAUGUUUGUAUGUGUCUGAGUGUCUGAAUAUGGAGAUCUCACAGUGAUAUAAUAUUUACAGUCCUUGUUGACAUUAUGAUUGGUCGCUCUAUGCUUUGUAAGACAUCUGGAGUAAAGAAAAAAUCCCUUACUUGAGAAACGAGUAAGGGUUGGCAACCAGAACAUCUGGCUGUAAAAAUCCUGCUUCAAAAAACCCCCUUUCUCGCCCAUGCUAGCAUGGAAAAGUGGGCAUUGAAUGGACACUGUGUCUACCCAUCUAGUCAACAUCUACUUUUUUUUAUGUAAUCAGGUUGUAUCUGAAGAUUAAAAUUUUGUGACAUUCCACUAGAAUAAAAUCAGUGAGCAAGUUGACACUGAGAACUGUUGCAUGUAAUAAAAUAAUUCCAUAAGGAUCAGUACAGUUUGGUUUUGGAUUUCACCACAAUACAAGCAUACAUACACUAGUGUGUAUAUAAUUCUAUUGUUAAAAUCCAAAAUGUAUAUAUAUAGUCCUUUUACCAGUUCAGUUUAGUGAACAAUUUUUGUCUGAAUUUCCUUGUAUUUCAAAACCAGACAUUCAAACUUUAUUUGAUAUCUUGCUGAUAUUGUUGUUGUUAUUGUUGUUUUAGAGUUCAGUUAAUUACUCUCUCUCUCUCUCUCUCUCUCUCUCCUCUCUCUCUCUCUCUCUCUCUCUCUCUCUCUCUCACUCUCUUUCUCGCUACUUUACAAAUGGCGUUCCUGUAGCAAGAAUCGUUUUUGUUUUAUAAUACUUUAUACAUUUUAAUUGAUUAUUGUUGUUGUUGUUCAUGAUGGCAGUUGUAUAGUGAAGAUCCCAAGUAGUAAGACUUAAUCUCCAAGAAUUCCACAAUUUUCAUUUUUACAAUUGUACACAUCUUAUUGACAUUUUUGGGAAAUUAAAUUUUACAAAGAAAUCAAA